GAUGAACGCUGACAGAAUGCUUAACACAUGCAAGUCAACUUGAAUUUGGGUUUUUUAACUUCGAUUUGGGUGGCGGACGGGUGAGUAACGCGUAAAGAACUUGCCUCACAGCUAGGGACAACAUUUGGAAACGAAUGCUAAUACCUGAUAUUAUGAUUAUAAGGCAUCUUAGAAUUAUGAAAGCUAUAUGCGCUGUGAGAGAGCUUUGCGUCCCAUUAGCUAGUUGGAGAGGUAACGGCUCACCAAGGCGAUGAUGGGUAGCCGGCCUGAGAGGGUGAACGGCCACAAGGGGACUGAGACACGGCCCUUACUCCUACGGGAGGCAGCAGUGGAGAAUAUUGGACAAUGGACCAAGAGACUGAUCCAGCAAUUCUGUGUGCACGAUGACGUUUUUCGGAAUGUAAAGUGCUUUCAGUUGGGAAGAAAAAAAUGACGGUACCAACAGAAGAAGUGACGGCUAAAUACGUG
RNAcentral lists this ribosomal RNA (468 nucleotides) under uncultured bacterium. RNAcentral describes it as "partial 16S ribosomal RNA". It matches the Rfam family "Bacterial small subunit ribosomal RNA", at positions 28 to 507 of the family's 1533-position model. The record is from RNAcentral.